Molecule: non-coding RNA, 502 nt
Organism: Paramuricea clavata
Lineage: Eukaryota; Metazoa; Cnidaria; Anthozoa; Malacalcyonacea; Plexauridae
Source: the annotation of a GenBank genome assembly
UGCUCCUAUUUCUUUUCAGAGGCGCCGGAAUAUCGAUAAUUGGGAGGGCAGAUAUUCAUAUAUUCGUGGUCUGCCCAAUUAAUUUCUUUUGAAAUCGAUUAUUUUUACAGUCUGUGAACACGAAUAUAUGAAUAUCUGCCCCCGCUAUUAUCGAUAUUCCGGCGCCUCUGUUUCUUUUCCACUACUCUUUAAGUACCAUGUUGAUAAUAGAGACCCUAAGGUAACCUGAGUAUCAGGCUCCUGGCGAAUGAAAACAUAAGGGCCUGAUACUCAGGUUAACCCUAAGGUUGACCGCUAAGCGCAAGCGGCAAACUUAGUAGCUAUAAUUCAUGGCUUCAAUUUUAAUACAUAUAGGCCUAUUACCCUAACUUCGAACAGCUAACAGUUGAGCUAAUGUCAAUCUUAAGGUUGCCAAGGAAACUGUAAUUCAGUUAGACUUGAAACAUUUUGAUACACAUCAAAAUUUUUUAUCAACUUCAACUAUGUUUUUUGAUGUUACUAU